GGCCUGGGAACACGCAUUGCGCAAAGGCGGUAAAGCGUACGCGAAUUUACCUUAGGUUGAUUGAGAUGUCUGUUUGGCUUAUAGCUAUUUUCGUCUUUGAGAGAAACAAAGCAUUUUAAUGGUUUUACAAGUCGAAGAGACUAACAACAUAAAUAUUUUGACCAUCAGCCCUGUUAUGAAAUACUUCUGUCAACCAAAGAGAUAAUCCAAUACAAGGGGAUAUCUCUUCUCCACAAGAAAUAUUAAAGAAGACUGUUUUUAUCAUAAGACAAGGAUAACGGAGUGAUCCUGAAAGCGAAGAUUUCACAUUUGCAAGCUAUCCUUGAUUCUAACUCCAAGUAUCAAGAUGUCUAUGAAACAAAUCAAUCUAUAGCAAUCAGAAUGGAUCAAUACAGGUAGAAUAUAAGUGGAUCUGGAGACCCUUCAAAAUGGUAUGACAAUAACAAGGCAUAGUAAGGAGACCCAGAAUUUCCACAAGAGUUCAUUUUGGUGCUAGUUCCCAAUCGAAGGCCUUCUUUUCUAAUAGCAGUAAGCAGUAAUUUAGGAUCUAAAUUUAGCUUCAUGGAAGUUACCCUAUUAUCUUUUGGUGGGGGAUGGGGGUCUGGGUCUGGGAUUGAAACCAGGACCUCACACAUGCAAAUGCUGUACCACUGAACCACACCCACAACCCUGUUACCUAUUAAAGAUGAUGUUAGCUAA
Molecule: non-coding RNA, 699 nt
Organism: Ictidomys tridecemlineatus (thirteen-lined ground squirrel)
Lineage: Eukaryota; Metazoa; Chordata; Mammalia; Rodentia; Sciuridae
Source: RefSeq, a predicted model, not a curated record